GCGUGCCUACACAUGCAAGUCGAACGGGAAUCUUCGGAUUCUAGUGGCGGACGGGUGAGUAACGCGUAAGAAUCUAACUUCAGGACGGGGACAACAGUUGGAAACGACUGCUAAUACCCGAUGUGCCGAAAGGUGAAACCUAAUUGGCCUGAAGAAGAGCUUGCGUCUGAUUAGCUAGUUGGUGGGGUAAGAGCCUACCAAGGCGACGAUCAGUAGCUGGUCUGAGAGGAUGAGCAGCCACACUGGGACUGAGACACGGCCCAGACUCCUACGGGAGGCAGCAGUGGGGAAUUUUCCGCAAUGGGCGAAAGCCUGACGGAGCAACGCCGCGUGAGGGAGGAAGGUCUUUGGAUUGUAAACCUCUUUUCUCAAGGAAGAAGUUCUGACGGUACUUGAGGAAUCAGCCUCGGCUAACUCCGUGCCAGCAGCCGCGGUAAUACGGGGGAGGCAAGCGUUAUCCGGAAUUAUUGGGCGUAAAGCGUCCGCAGGUGGUCAGCCAAGUCUGCCGUCAAAUCAGGUUGCUUAACGACCUAAAGGCGGUGGAAACUGGCAGACUAGAGAGCAGUAGGGGUAGCAGGAAUUCCCAGUGUAGCGGUGAAAUGCGUAGAGAUUGGGAAGAACAUCGGUGGCGAAAGCGUGCUACUGGGCUGUAUCUGACACUCAGGGACGAAAGCUAGGGGAGCGAAAGGGAUUAGAUACCCCUGUAGUCCUAGCCGUAAACGAUGGAUACUAGGCGUGGCUUGUAUCGACCCGAGCCGUGCCGAAGCUAACGCGUUAAGU
Molecule: ribosomal RNA, 780 nt
Filed under: uncultured cyanobacterium
Lineage: Bacteria; Bacillati; Cyanobacteriota
Description: bacterial SSU rRNA
Rfam family: Bacterial small subunit ribosomal RNA
Source: RNAcentral